AGAUUGAACGCUGGCGGCAUGCCUUACACAUGCAAGUCGAACGGCAGCACGGGAGCAAUCCUGGUGGCGAGUGGCGAACGGGUGAGUAAUACAUCGGAACGUGCCCAAUCGUGGGGGAUAACGCAGCGAAAGCUGUGCUAAUACCGCAUAAGAUCUACGGAUGAAAGCAGGGGAUCGCAAGACCUUGCGACGAAUGGAGCGGCCGAUGGCAGAUUAGGUAGUUGGUGAGGUAAGGCUCACCAAGCCUUCGAUCUGUAGC
This 259-nucleotide ribosomal RNA is filed under the name uncultured soil bacterium. RNAcentral's name for it is "partial 16S ribosomal RNA". It matches the Rfam family "Bacterial small subunit ribosomal RNA", at positions 26 to 287 of the family's 1533-position model. The record is from RNAcentral.